UACGUAGGCAGCAAGCGUUGUUCGGAGUUACUGGGCGUAAAGGGCGCGUAGGCGGUGCGGUAAGUCUGAUGUGAAAUCUCCGGGCUCAACUCGGAGUCUGCAUCAGAAACUGCCGUGCUCGAGUGUGGGAGAGGUGAGUGGAAUUCCCGGUGUAGCGGUGAAAUGCGUAGAUAUCGGGAGGAAGGCCGGUGGCGAAGGCGGCGCUCUGGAACGUUUCUGACACUGAGGCUCGAAAGCGUGGGGAGCAAACAGG
This 253-nucleotide ribosomal RNA is filed under the name uncultured bacterium. RNAcentral describes it as "partial 16S ribosomal RNA". It matches the Rfam family "Bacterial small subunit ribosomal RNA", at positions 524 to 776 of the family's 1533-position model. The record is from RNAcentral.